This 253-nucleotide ribosomal RNA is filed under the name uncultured bacterium. Its description in RNAcentral is "partial 16S ribosomal RNA". It matches the Rfam family "Bacterial small subunit ribosomal RNA", at positions 524 to 776 of the family's 1533-position model. The record is from RNAcentral.
UACAGAGGGGGCAAGCGUUGUUCGGAAUUACUGGGCGUAAAGGGCGCGUAGGCGGCCGCCUAAGUCAGACGUGAAAUCCCUCGGCUCAACCGGGGAACUGCGUCUGAUACUGGGUGGCUUGAAUCCGGGAGAGGGAUGCGGAAUUCCAGGUGUAGCGGUGAAAUGCGUAGAUAUCUGGAGGAACACCGGUGGCGAAGGCGGCAUUCUGGACCGAUAUUGACGCUGAGGAGCGAAAGCCAGGGGAGCAAACGGG